This 431-nucleotide ribosomal RNA is filed under the name Mortierellomycotina sp. RNAcentral's name for it is "SSU rRNA". It matches the Rfam family "Eukaryotic small subunit ribosomal RNA", at positions 1341 to 1791 of the family's 1831-position model. Lineage: Eukaryota; Fungi; Mortierellomycota. The record is from RNAcentral.
CCUUAACCUGCUAAAUAGUUAGGCCAACGUUUGUUGGUCGUCAACUUCUUAGAGGGACUAUUGACUAUUAGUCAAUGGAAGUUUGAGGCAAUAACAGGUCUGUGAUGCCCUUAGAUGUUCUGGGCCGCACGCGCGCUACACUGAUCAAGUCAACGAGUUUACAACCUUGGCCGGAAGGUCUGGGUAAUCUUUUGAAACUUGAUCGUGCUGGGGAUAGUCCAUUGCAAUUAUUGGACUUCAACGAGGAAUUCCUAGUAAGCGUGAGUCAUCAGCUCGCGUUGAUUACGUCCCUGCCCUUUGUACACACCGCCCGUCGCUACUACCGAUUGAAUGGCUUAAUGAGGCAUCUGGAUUGGUCUUUUGUAGCUGGCAACAGCAACGAGAGACUGAGAAGUUUUCCAAAUUUGGUCAUUUAGAGGAAGUAAAAGUCG